Molecule: ribosomal RNA, 391 nt
Filed under: uncultured archaeon
Lineage: Archaea
Description: bacterial SSU rRNA
Rfam family: Archaeal small subunit ribosomal RNA
Source: RNAcentral
UGCAGCAGGCGCGAAACCUUUACACUGCACGACAGUGCGAUAGGGGGACACCGAGUGCGAGGGCAUAGAGCCCUCGCUUUUGUAGACCGUAAGGAGGUACACGAAUAAGGGCUGGGCAAGACCGGUGCCAGCCGCCGCGGUAACACCGGCAGCCCAAGUGAUGGCCGAUAUUAUUGGGCCUAAAGCGUCCGUAGCUGGCCGCGCAAGUUCGUCGGGAAAUCCACUCGCUUAACGAGUGGGCGUCCGGCGAAAACUGUGCGGCUUGGGACCGGAAGAUCCAAGGGGUACGUCCGGGGUAGGAGUGAAAUCCCGUAAUCCUGGACGGACCACCGAUGGCGAAAGCACCUCGGAAGGACGGAUCCGACAGUGAGGGACGAAAGCUAGGGUCUCG